RNAcentral lists this ribosomal RNA (251 nucleotides) under uncultured prokaryote. RNAcentral's name for it is "partial 16S rRNA". It matches the Rfam family "Bacterial small subunit ribosomal RNA", at positions 525 to 775 of the family's 1533-position model. The record is from RNAcentral.
ACGGGGGGUGCAAGCGUUGUUCGGAAUCAUUGGGCGUAAAGCGCGCGCAGGCGGCUUGGUAAGUCAGAUGUGAAAUCCCUGGGCUUAACCCAGGAAGUGCAUUUGAUACUGCCUCGCUAGAGUACGGGAGAGGAAAGUGGAAUUCCUGGUGAAGAUGUGGAAGUCGUAGAUCUCAGGAGGAACACCGGUGGCGAAGGCGACUUUCUGGCCCGAUACUGACGCUUAUGCGCGAAAGCGUUGGGAGCAAACAG